GGGGAUAACUAUUGGAAACGAUAGCUAAUACCGCAUAACAAUGGAUGACACAUGUCAUUUAUUUGAAAGGGGCAAUUGCUCCACUACAAGAUGGACCUGCGUUGUAUUAGCUAGUAGGUGAGGUAACGGCUCACCUAGGCGACGAUACAUAGCCGACCUGAGAGGGUGAUCGGCCACACUGGGACUGAGACACGGCCCAGACUCCUACGGGAGGCAGCAGUAGGGAAUCUUCGGCAAUGGGGGCAACCCUGACCGAGCAACGCCGCGUGAGUGAAGAAGGUUUUCGGAUCGUAAAGCUCUGUUGUAAGUCAAGAACGAGUGUGAGAGUGGAAAGUUCACACUGUGACGGUAGCUUACCAGAAAGGGACGGCUAACUACGUGCCAGCAGCCGCGGUAAUACGUAGGUCCCGAGCGUUGUCCGGAUUUAUUGGGCGUAAAGCGAGCGCAGGCGGUUUGAUAAGUCUGAAGUUAAAGGCUGUGGCUCAACCAUAGUUCGCUUUGGAAACUGUCAAACUUGAGUGCAGAAGGGGAGAGUGGAAUUCCAUGUGUAGCGGUGAAAUGCGUAGAUAUAUGGAGGAACACCGGUGGCGAAA
Molecule: ribosomal RNA, 593 nt
Filed under: uncultured Bacilli bacterium
Lineage: Bacteria; Bacillati; Bacillota; Bacilli
Description: bacterial SSU rRNA
Rfam family: Bacterial small subunit ribosomal RNA
Source: RNAcentral